GUUUCUAUAGUGUAGUGGUUAUCACAUUCGCUUCACAUGUAAAAGAUCUCAGGUUUGAAACCAGACAGAAACA
Molecule: transfer RNA, 73 nt
Filed under: Poecilia formosa (Amazon molly)
Lineage: Eukaryota; Metazoa; Chordata; Actinopteri; Cyprinodontiformes; Poeciliidae
Rfam family: tRNA
About the family: Transfer RNA (tRNA) molecules are approximately 80 nucleotides in length. Their secondary structure includes four short double-helical elements and three loops (D, anti-codon, and T loops).
Source: Rfam by way of RNAcentral